This 460-nucleotide ribosomal RNA is filed under the name uncultured bacterium. RNAcentral's name for it is "partial 16S ribosomal RNA". It matches the Rfam family "Bacterial small subunit ribosomal RNA", at positions 338 to 795 of the family's 1533-position model. The record is from RNAcentral.
CCUACGGGAGGCAGCAGUGAGGAAUAUUGGUCAAUGGGCGCGAGCCUGAACCAGCCAAGUCGCGUGAGGGAUGACGGCCCUACGGGUUGUAAACUUCUUUUAUAGGGGAGUAAAGUCGUGCACGUGUGCCUGUUCGUCUUUACUUUAUCAAUUAAGAACGGCUAACCUCGUGCCAUCAGCCCCGGUAAUACGGAGGAUCCGAGGGUUAGCCGGAUUUAUUGGGGUUAAAGGGAGCGUAGAUGGGUUGUUUAGUCAGUUGUGAAAGUUUGCGGCUCAACCGUAAAAUGGCAAUUGAUACUGGAAGUCUUGAGUACAGAUGAGGUAGGCGGAAUUCGAGGUGUAGCGGUGAAAUGCUGAGAUAUCACGAAGAACUCCGAUUGCGAAGGCAGCUUACUAGCCUGCGACUGACGCUGAUGCGCGAAAGCGUGGGGAUCAAACAGGAUUAGAUACCCGUGUAGUC